RNAcentral lists this ribosomal RNA (338 nucleotides) under uncultured bacterium. RNAcentral's name for it is "bacterial SSU rRNA". It matches the Rfam family "Bacterial small subunit ribosomal RNA", at positions 568 to 899 of the family's 1533-position model. The record is from RNAcentral.
UGUGUAGGCGGCUUUCUAAGUUUGUUGUGAAAUCUCCCGGCUUAACCGGGAGGGUGCGGCGAAGACUGGGAGGCUAGAGUAUGGGAUGGGAGAGUGGAAUUCCUGGUGUAGCGGUGAAAUGCGUAGAUAUCAGGAGGAACACCUGCGGUGUAGACGGCUCUCUGGACCAUUACUGACGCUGAGACACGAAAGCGGUGGGUAGACAAACAGGAUUAGACUACCCUGGUACGUCCACCGACCCUAAACGAUGCAUAUUUGGUGUGGGCCAUUCAUUUGGUCUGUGCCGGAGCUAACGCGUUAAAUAUGCCGCCGUGGGGAGUACAGUCGCAAGGCUAGAA